CAGCAGCCGCGGUAAUACGUAGGGUGCAAGCGUUAAUCGGAAUUACUGGGCGUAAAGCGUGCGCAGGCGGUUAUAUAAGACAGAUGUGAAAUCCCCGGGCUCAACCUGGGAACUGCAUUUGUGACUGUAUAGCUAGAGUACGGCAGAGGGGGAUGGAAUUCCGCGUGUAGAAGUGAAAUGCGUAGAUAUGCGGAGGAACACCGAUGGCGAAGGCAAUCCCCUGGGCCUGUACUGACGCUCAUGCACGAAAGCGUGGGGAGCAAACAGGAUUAGAUACCCCCGUAGUCCCUGUCUCUUAUAA
This 301-nucleotide ribosomal RNA is filed under the name uncultured bacterium. RNAcentral describes it as "partial 16S ribosomal RNA". It matches the Rfam family "Bacterial small subunit ribosomal RNA", at positions 509 to 809 of the family's 1533-position model. The record is from RNAcentral.